Molecule: long non-coding RNA, 789 nt
Filed under: Sinocyclocheilus grahami
Lineage: Eukaryota; Metazoa; Chordata; Actinopteri; Cypriniformes; Cyprinidae
Description: lncRNA (ENSSGRG00000014732.1)
Source: RNAcentral
AUUUUGAACUAUUUGCCUAUAUUAUUAUAUGUGAUGCCGUUAAAACACACUUCAAAGUCACACGUUUUACCAUGUUUUAGUACAAAAUGACAUUGUGUGACAAAUAAUGUAAAUUACAUGGAAAUGCAGUUUGUCACUUAGAUUUCUUUGUUGUUGUAUACUUCUAAUCAAUAAUGUAAUUGCUGUUUUUGUCCUGCAGGCAGAAGAAUCGGGCAGACACCUGUCACGCAGCGAUAGCAGAUAUGGAUCAUUAAAAAGAGGACAAAGACAAGAAAGCCAUAGUGAAGAUGAUCUGCUUUCUGAAAACAUAGAAAUGAUGGAGCUGAGAGCGAGCUACGAGGGUUGUCUGCAGGAGGUGCGGACCCUGGAGCUGCAGCAGGAGACUCUUCUGUUCCAGGUGGACUGUCUUCAGGACGCCCUCGAGGGCACGGAGGAGAUGCUCGCUGAGACCCAGAGAGACAAUCACAAUCUCACCAUGGAGCUGGAGCGAGAACGAGAGAUGAGGAGGAAGUCGGAGGACAUGCUUGCCUCAUUAAAGCGGGAGCUGGAGAGGUUAAGAGAGGAAAGAAGCAGCGAGCCGCUUCAGUCGAGGCCGGCGGGGCCCGGAGUUUGAAAAUCGUGCAGUGUGAACUCGGCAUAAGUGAGUGAAAUCCACUGUCGUUAUUACAGUGAUACAGUAGCUGUACACGUGCAUUUGUUGCCGUUUUGUUUGUGGGAUUUCGUACCCGGAUGCACCUGUAAGUACAGCAGCAGGUUGUGUUGAUGUAUCGGGUGAUUGUGCUCUUACAC